UCCUCCUUAGCUCAGUUGGUUAGAGCAUCUGACUGUUAAUCAGAGGGUCCUUGGUUCGAGCCCAAGAGGAGGAGC
RNAcentral lists this transfer RNA (75 nucleotides) under Chryseobacterium balustinum. RNAcentral's name for it is "tRNA-Asn(gtt)". It matches the Rfam family "tRNA". Rfam says of the family: Transfer RNA (tRNA) molecules are approximately 80 nucleotides in length. The record is from RNAcentral. Lineage: Bacteria; Pseudomonadati; Bacteroidota; Flavobacteriia; Flavobacteriales; Weeksellaceae. RNAcentral also lists the same sequence under 41 other names.